UACAGAGGGGGCAAGCGUUGUUCGGAAUUACUGGGCGUAAAGGGCGCGUAGGCGGCCGCCUAAGUCAGACGUGAAAUCCCUCGGCUCAACCGGGGAACUGCGUCUGAUACUGGGUGGCUUGAAUCCGGGAGAGGGAUGCGGAAUUCCAGGUGUAGCGGUGAAAUGCGUAGAUAUCUGGAGGAACACCGGUGGCGAAGGCAGCUCGCUGGGACGGUACUGACGCUGAGACGCGAAAGCGUGGGGAGCAAACAGG
RNAcentral lists this ribosomal RNA (253 nucleotides) under uncultured bacterium. RNAcentral's name for it is "partial 16S ribosomal RNA". It matches the Rfam family "Bacterial small subunit ribosomal RNA", at positions 524 to 776 of the family's 1533-position model. The record is from RNAcentral.